AAGUCGUAACAAGGUUUCCGUAGGUGAACCUGCGGAAGGAUCAUUAUCGAAAUAUUGCGGACUGAGUUGUCGCUGGCCUCGCAUGAGGCAUGUGCACGCUUGUCUCGAUCUUCAUACACCUGUGAACUCACUGUAGGGCGCUGGGAGGGGGACUUCGGUCUUCCCUCGGGGCUCUACGUUUUUACACAAACCCUUAACGUAUCAGAAUGUCUGUUAUUCUGCCUUAACACGCAGAAGAAUCAAAUACAACUUUCAACAACGGAUCUCUUGGCUCUC
RNAcentral lists this unclassified non-coding RNA (276 nucleotides) under air metagenome. RNAcentral describes it as "partial contains small subunit ribosomal RNA, internal transcribed spacer 1, and 5.8S ribosomal RNA". The stretch from base 1 to 46 matches the Rfam family "Eukaryotic small subunit ribosomal RNA", at positions 1786 to 1831 of the family's 1831-position model. The record is from RNAcentral.